GAGCUCUGGGGUGUCUGCACAAUGGCCUGGACUCUGCUCCACCUCAUCCCCCUCCUCCUCCAGUGCACAGGCUCCUUUUCCCAGCCUGUGCUGUCGCAGCCACCCUCUGCAUCUGCCUCCCUGGGAGCCUCGGCCAAGCUCACCUGCACCCUGAGCAGUGGCUACAGCAGCUACAGUGUGGACUGGUACCAGCAGGUCCCAGGGAAAAGCCCAUGGUUCCUGAUGCGAGUUGGCAGCAGUGGUGUUGGAUCCAAGGGGAGUGGGGUCUCUGAUCGGUUCUCAGGCUCAAGUUCUGGUUUGGAGCGCUACCUGACCAUCCAGAACGUCCAGGAGGAGGACGAGGCUGAAUAUAUCUGUGGGGCAGACCAUGGCAGCUACAUGUAA
Non-coding RNA from Vicugna pacos (alpaca), 384 nucleotides. NCBI's taxonomy places the organism in Eukaryota, Metazoa, Chordata, Mammalia, Artiodactyla, Camelidae. The record is from the annotation of a RefSeq genome assembly.